AGACUCCACCGUCUCAUCCAUUAAAACAAUAACAUCAUUUUUCACAAUCUGGAAAUUCUUGUCUUCUCUCCCUUUCUUCUUUGUCCUCUGACAUAUUUGGGAGCGACAAGGUAGAGGGCUAGGGAGGGGUGACGUGGUAGGGUGGAGGUAGAGGGUUAGGGAGGGGUGACGUGGUAGGGCGGAGGUAGAGGGUUAGGGAGGGGUGACGUGGUAGGGUGGAGGUAGAGGGCUAGAGGGAGGGAGGGAGGGGUGACGUGGUAGGGCGGAGGUAGAGGGUUAGGGAGGGGUGACGUGGUAGGGCGGAGGUAGAGGGCUAGAGGGAGGGGUGACGUGGUAGGGUGGAGGUAGAGGGUUAGGGAGGGGUGACGUGGUAGGGCGGAGGUAGAGGGCUAGAGGGAAGGGUGACGUGGUAGGGACGGAGGUAGAGGGCUAGAGGGAGGGGUGACGUGGUAGGGACGGAGGUAGAGGGCUAGAGGGAGGGGUGACGUGGUAGGGACGGAGGUAGAGGGCUAGAGGGAGGGGUGAC
This is a long non-coding RNA of Esox lucius (northern pike), 526 nucleotides long. The record is from Ensembl. NCBI's taxonomy places the organism in Eukaryota, Metazoa, Chordata, Actinopteri, Esociformes, Esocidae.